CCUACGGGGUGCAGCAGUGGGGAAUAUUGGACAAUGGGCGAAAGCCUGAUCCAGCCAUGCCGCGUGUGUGAAGAAGGCCUUCGGGUUGUAAAGCACUUUCAGUGGGGAAGAAAGCCUUGGGGCUAAUACCCUCGAGGAAGGACAUCACCCACAGAAGAAGCACCGGCUAACUCCGUGCCAGCAGCCGCGGUAAUACGGAGGGUGCGAGCGUUAAUCGGAAUUACUGGGCGGAAAGCGCGCGUAGGCGGUCUGAUAAGCCGGUUGUGAAAGCCCCGGGCUCAACCUGGGAACGGCAUCCGGAACUGUCAGGCUAGAGUGCAGGAGAGGAAGGUAGAAUUCCCGGUGUAGCGGUGAAAUGCGUAGAGAUCGGGAGGAAUACCAGUGGCGAAGGCGGCCUUCUGGACUGACACUGACGCUGAGGUGCGAAAGCGUGGGUAGCAAACAGGAUUAGAUACCCUAGUAGUC
Molecule: ribosomal RNA, 465 nt
Filed under: Vreelandella stevensii
Lineage: Bacteria; Pseudomonadati; Pseudomonadota; Gammaproteobacteria; Oceanospirillales; Halomonadaceae
Description: partial 16S ribosomal RNA
Rfam family: Bacterial small subunit ribosomal RNA
Source: RNAcentral